GGCUCCCGCCGCGCGGCCGCUCGGCCCCGCCACCGCCGCCGCUGCUGCUGCUGCCGCCGCCGCGCCCGCCGCCGCCGCCAUCCUCCGCCGCCGCCGCUGAGCCCUGUGGGGGGCAACGGCGGCAGCAACGCCGCCGAGGCCGCUCGCUCGCCCGCGGGGCGCCGUGCUUGUGCCGCGGGAGGCGGGAGGGGGCGGUCACCCCGGCGCAGCCGCUCCUCUACCGUGUCGCCAUACUGGGGGCGGCACCAGCGGGCGGGAUGGGGAGCGGUUACAGCGGCAGCGGCCGCCGCCUCUCCUGCCGCCCCCCCCUUCCCCGCCCGGCGGGGGACCGGCCCCCGGCGGCACGGCGCGACGGGCCCGGCCCGCCGCCUCACCCCGCCCUCUGCUCCUCUCCUCACGCAAGAUCAGCACCCAACAAUGCCAGCUGAAUGUGGAUUCAGAGUUUCGGGAGGACUGUUGAUCGCCUCAGCUCCCUUUACUUCUGCCGAGGGAAAUCAGGAUAGUCUUUCAAGCCACCUUCUACUCCCGAUGAGCCUCUGGGAGACCAAAUAAAGCAUGCAAGGAGUGGACACAGCAAAGAGAGAAGCUAAGACAUUCCACUAAUUCUGCCAACUGUAUGAAAGAAAGUGAUUACCCAAAGGAUAUUCUUUCACUCUAG
RNAcentral lists this long non-coding RNA (658 nucleotides) under Falco tinnunculus (common kestrel). RNAcentral describes it as "lncRNA (ENSFTIG00000000011.1)". The record is from RNAcentral. Lineage: Eukaryota; Metazoa; Chordata; Aves; Falconiformes; Falconidae.